RNAcentral lists this ribosomal RNA (884 nucleotides) under Amanita fritillaria. Its description in RNAcentral is "LSU rRNA". It matches the Rfam family "Eukaryotic large subunit ribosomal RNA", at positions 24 to 895 of the family's 3401-position model. The record is from RNAcentral. Lineage: Eukaryota; Fungi; Basidiomycota; Agaricomycetes; Agaricales; Amanitaceae.
CCCGCUGAAAUUAAGCAUAUCAAUAAGCGGAGGAAAAGAAACUAACAAGGAUUCCCUUAGUAACUGCGAGUGAAGAGGGAAAAGCUCAAAUUUAAAAUCUGGCAGCGCUUCGCUGUCCGAGUUGUAACCUAGAGAAGUGUAACCUGUGCUGGACCGUGUACAAGUCUCCUGGAAUGGAGCAUCAUAGAGGGUGAGAAUCCCGUCUUUGACAUGGACUACCAGUGCAUUGUGGUUGCGCUCUCAACGAGUCGAGUUGUUUGGGAAUGCAGCUCUAAAUGGGUGGUAAAUUCCAUCUAAAGCUAAAUAUUGGCGAGAGACCGAUAGCGAACAAGUACCGUGAGGGAAAGAUGAAAAGAACUUUGGAAAGAGAGUUAAACAGUAUGUGAAAUUGUUGAAAGGGAAACGUUUGAAGUCAGUCGCGUUGGUUGGGGAUCAGCCUGACAUUGUUGGGUGUACUUCCUGGUCGACGGGCCAACAUCAGUUUUGACUGCCAGAAAAAGGCCAAAGGAAUGUGGCACCUUCGGGUGUGUUAUAGCCUUUGGUCGUAUAUGGUGGUUGGGACUGAGGAAAGCAGCGCGCCGAAAGGCCGGGUUUCGACCACGUUCACGCUGAGGAUGUUGGCAUAAUGGCUUUAAGCGACCCGUCUUGAAACACGGACCAAGGAGUCUAACAUGCAUGCGAGUGUUUGGGUGGAAAACCCUUACGCGUAAUGAAAGUGAAAGUUGAGAUCCCUGUCGCGGGGAGCAUCGACGCCCGGACCAGAACUUUUGGGACGGAUCUGCGGUAGAGCACGUAUGUUGGGACCCGAAAGAUGGUGAACUAUGCCUGAAUAGGGUGAAGCCAGAGGAAACUCUGGUGGAGGCUCGUAGCGAUUCUGACGUGCA